This 471-nucleotide ribosomal RNA is filed under the name uncultured bacterium. Its description in RNAcentral is "bacterial SSU rRNA". It matches the Rfam family "Bacterial small subunit ribosomal RNA", at positions 29 to 524 of the family's 1533-position model. The record is from RNAcentral.
AACGAACGCUGGCGGCAGGCUUAACACAUGCAAGUCGAGCGCCCCGCAAGGGGAGCGGCAGACGGGUGAGUAACGCGUGGGAACAUACCCUUUGGUUCGGAAUAACUCAGGGAAACUUGAGCUAAUACCGGAUACGUCCGUAAGGAGAAAGAUUUAUCGCCAAAGGAUUGGCCCGCGUCCGAUUAGCUAGUUGGUGAGGUAACGGCUCACCAAGGCUACGAUCGGUAGCUGGUCUGAGAGGAUGAUCAGCCACAUUGGGACUGAGACACGGCCCAAACUCCUACGGGAGGCAGCAGUGGGAAUAUUGGACAAUGGGCGCAAGCCUGAUCCAGCCACGCCGCGUGAGUGAUGAAGGCCUUCGGGUCGUAAAGCUCUGUGGGGAGGGACGAACCGCUGCACGUUCAUAGCGUGCAGCAUGACGGUACCUCCUUAGCAAGCACCGGCUAACUUCGUGCCAGCAGCCGCGGUAAU